GAGCCAUUAGCUCAGUCGGUAGAGCAUCUGACUUUAAUCAGAGGUCGAAGGUUCGAAUCCUUCCAUGGUUCACCA
RNAcentral lists this transfer RNA (75 nucleotides) under Anaerobacillus sp. HL2. RNAcentral describes it as "tRNA-OTHER". It matches the Rfam family "tRNA". Rfam says of the family: Transfer RNA (tRNA) molecules are approximately 80 nucleotides in length. Their secondary structure includes four short double-helical elements and three loops (D, anti-codon, and T loops). Further hydrogen bonds mediate the characteristic L-shaped molecular structure. tRNAs have two regions of fundamental functional importance: the anti-codon, which is responsible for specific mRNA codon recognition, and the 3' end, to which the tRNAs corresponding amino acid is attached (by aminoacyl-tRNA synthetases). tRNAs cope with the degeneracy of the genetic code in two manners: having more than one tRNA (with a specific anti-codon) for a particular amino acid; and 'wobble' base-pairing, i.e. permitting non-standard base-pairing at the 3rd anti-codon position. The record is from RNAcentral. Lineage: Bacteria; Bacillati; Bacillota; Bacilli; Caryophanales; Bacillaceae.